GUGCUUACUUCAGCAGCAUAUAUACUAUUGGAAAGAUACAGAGAAGAUUUGCAUGGAUGACAUGAAAAUUCAUGAAGCAUUCCAUUUUUUU
This 91-nucleotide small nuclear RNA is filed under the name Ochotona princeps (American pika). The record is from RNAcentral. Lineage: Eukaryota; Metazoa; Chordata; Mammalia; Lagomorpha; Ochotonidae.